UAAAGAGAAGGAUUCUUUCGGAGUCGACAUUUAUCAAUACAAUGGUUUCUGGUGGCCUGAAGUAGCUGUGCAUUGCAUGAUCGAGUCUCUAAAUUAUUUUCAACCUCGCAAAAACGAUGUCUUCCUUGCAACUGCUCCUAAAUCUGGCACCACCUGGUUGAAAGCUAUUGUCUAUACUUUACUCAACCGCCAAGUCCACCAUCCUCAAGAUCCUCACCACCCCUUGCUAACAACAAAUCCCCAUCAGCUUGUUCCUUUUCUUGAACUACUUGAGCACUCUGAAUACGAAACCUUAUCCAACUCUUCGGAGAGCAGCACUAGGAUCUUCGGGAGCCAUUUGCCAGCGGCUAGUCUUCCUAAAUCCGUAACAGAAGAGAAUGAGUCAUUUAAUUGUAAGAUAGUGUAUUUGUGCAGGGAUAUCAAGGACACGUUUGUUUCCUUCUUUCACUUUGUCAUCAAGCAUGUUGAUCCGUCCUCCACUUCUUUGGAAAAGGUCUUCGAUUUAUACAGUAGAGGACUCAACGGAGCUGGACCCGUUUGGGAUCAAAUCAUGGGAUAUUGGAAGGAAAGCUUGGAGAGGCCAGACAAGGUGUUGUUUAUCAAGUAUGAAGACAUGAAACGCGAGCCUCGUAUUCAGGCGAGGCGUCUUGCGCUCUUUCUAGGGAAGCCCUUGUCCGAAGAGGAAGAAAAUUCAGGUAUGCUCGAUCAAAUCAUAAGUUUGUGUAGCUUCGAUCAUAUGAAGAAUCUUGAGGUUAGUAAGAGCGGGACAACUAGGCAUGGUAUAAAGAAUAACACUUUUUACCGGAGUGGCCAAGUCGGAGAUUGGAAGAAUUAUUUGACUGCGGGAAUGGCUGCUAAAUUGGAUCAUAUUACUCGAGAGAAGUUUCGAGGUUCAGGAUUAUCUCUCUGAAAUGCCGUCAUUAUAUAUGCUGCUGCUUAUUCUAGUUAUUCUGUUGAUAGUAUAUUCAAAUUGUUCUCUACAAUUACUAAUUCAUAUGCGUGGACGAGUGUGGAUUGAUUGGCGUACCGUUGUAACCGCAACAAUAUUGUACUCGUAGUUAUAAUAAUUUUGUGUUCGUUGUUAUGGCCUUGAAUUUCGUCUACUUUGGAAUUAUGGAUCACGCUAAUCAGGUCGGUUCUUAAGGCACUCCUUCCGCCCUUUUUAAUUGCCCAGUUUUGAUUUUCAUUCAUUAAACUUAUAUCGAUUUUUUGCUGAAAAACAGAUUGAAAAACUGUUUGAUUAAUUUAAAAGCAGCUAUCCAGCUUUUGCACAACAAUUUUCUGAUUUCUACAACACCGUUUUUCUUACCCGCACUUUUUCCGACAGCAGAACCAUUUUAACAGCACUCCAAAACAGACUCUAAAAAAGAACCCAUUACUUUUUUUUUUUAAGAUUUUAAAUUGAAUACUCUUUAAUGUUAUGGAUACAUAUCACAAUCCACCACAUGUAUCAAAAUCAUUCCUCUACUUUCUCCACAAGAUAUCAAGACCCGGGGUUAAGUUUUAAAAUUCUCAUUAUUAUACAUGCUCAACAAAUUUAUAAUUUUUUCCUAUAUUUUCGUCAUAAAUUAAGUUAAAACCUUGACUUUCAUAUUAAUUACUUACACCAUAAGAACAUUUUGUCUUUACCAUUCCGUAUGAUUUUUGUUUACGUACCCGCCCUGCAUGAUACUUGUGUGGUAUUUUACUCUUCAUUCAUUUUUUUGUUUUGAUUUGAUUUUUUACAUGUAUUAUAAUAUAAAAAAUAUAAUUAUUAUUUAUAUUCCAAUAUUUUUAGUAUAUAUGUAAUAAAAUGAAAAUUUUUAAAAAUAAUAUAUGAAAAUAUUUUGUCUAUACACUUUAAAAUAAUAAAAAAUUAAAAUGAUUGAUCUCCAUUAAUAUUAUAAAUUUUUUUAUUAAAAUAUCCUAAUUUAAUAUUUUGCCUCGGGCCAAAAAUAUAAAGAUCAGACCGACACUAUUAUACUAACAAAGGCAAGGAACAUCAUUUACACAACUGAUGCUACUUCAAGCGGGUGUGGGCCAGCUACGAUUUAAAGCAUCAUCAGAAUCUCCAAGGACAUAUCCUAACGAUCUCUGAUGAAGAUAACCAUAAUGAUGGGUUGAAUUAGACAUGUAGGAUAUUUAUUCAAUCUAUAACCCAUUAUAUUCUAUGGUAUUGAUUAUAUUAAUUGAUUAAAUUUAAAAAUAGUAUUUUAAAUUAUUAUAAAUAAAAUAUAUGAUGAGUAAUCAAUCUUUCCACAUUUUUAACUUGAUCUUAAUAAAUGGAACGUUCUCCAAAAAAAUUAAGAUCGCUAAUUUACAUACUUGUAGAGGUUUGACAAAUAUAAUCAUCCACGUGAGCUUGAUUGUAAUUAUAGCAACGGGGGAGUAUGGUUCAAAUGUGAUAUUUUCAACCAAUUAUUUUUAUUUUUUAUUUUUAAUACUCAAUUUUAGUUAAAGAUUUUUUCAUGAUCGUAGUUAACUCUUAAUAAAUGGAAUGUUCUCCAAAGAAUAAAAUUAUGAUCGCUAAUUUACGGGAGAUUUACACCAUCAUAAUUUUAAGCGGGGGCACUUGUUGGCGGGUUGAUAAUAUAAGUACGGUUUUUCUAUGGUGUGCAUGCUAAGCGCGGAAAAUUAUGUGCUUGGAUCAUUUUGAUUGGCUCCUAUCUCAUGAUAAUGGUGGACCCCUGCAAAUACACCAACCACACCAAUCAAAAUCUCCCAAAUAUAAAAAUUUCCGCGCUUAGCAUGUGCCCAUGGGCACACACUAGCCAAACCGAUAUAAGUAUUGCAAUAGGCAUGCAGUCGUUUACCCAAAAACACUGCAAUAACCCAAAACUUCAAAACCUCAUCAAGUUUCUCCUCCUCUUCUUAAGCAAUUAGAUGAAGAGAUCGUCUAUAGCCAAGAUUUUAUGGACUUGCUUUUAACCUUGCCAAAAGAGAAAAAUACUUUCGGAGCCGACAUUUUUCGAUACAAUGGCUUCUGGUUUCCUGAAGUACCCUUGCAUGGCAUGAUUGAGUCUGGAAAACAUUUUCAACCUCGGCAGAAUGAUGUGUUCCUCGUAACUGCUCCUAAAUCCGGCACUACAUGGUUGAAGGGCAUCAUGUAUACUUUGCUUAAUCGCGAAAUCCACCAUCCUCAAGAUCCUUACCACCCUUUGCUGACUCAAACUCCCCAUCAGCUUGUUCCUUUUCAUGAAUUACUUAAACGUUCCGAAUACAACUCUGUAUCCAACUCUCCUGAUAGCAGCAGUAGGAUCUUCGGAAGUCAUAUGCCAACAGUUAGUCUUCCUAAAUCCGUAAUAGAAGACAGUGAGUCAUUAAAUUGUAAGAUGGUGUAUUUGUGCAGGGACAUCAAGGACACCUUUGUUUCCUCCUUUCACUUUCUCAAACAGAAUCUAGAGCCAUCAAACAAUUGUAUGGAAAACCUCUUUGAUUUAUACAUCAGAGGAGUAAGUCCGGGUGGACCCGUGUGGGAUCAUAUCAUGGGAUAUUGGAAGGAAAGCUUGGAGAGGCCAAAUAAGGUGUUGUUUAUGAGGUACGAAGACAUGAAAUCCAAGCCUCAUUUUCAGUUGAGGCGUCUUGCGUUUUUUCUGGGAAAGCCCUUCUCCGAAGAGGAAGAAAAUUCAGGUAUGCUUGAUCAAAUCAUAAGUUUGUGCAGCUUUGAUAAUAUGAGGAAUCUUGAGGUUAAUAAGAGCGAUACAACUAAGCUUGGUAUAAAGAAUCACACAUUUUACCGGAGCGGUCAAGUUGGAGAUUGGAAGAAUUAUUUGACUGCGGAGAUGGCUGGUAAGCUGGAUCAGAUCACUCAAGAAAAGUUUCGUGCUUCUGGAUUAUCUCUCUGAUAUAUUUUCAAUCAUCAUUGUGUGCUGCUGCUGCUGCUGAUGCCACCUGUUUUGUUGUUUAUACUUAUUGUAUGUAUGUAGUAAUUCCUGUCAUAGUUUAUGACAAGGAAUUUUGUGCUCUCUUCACUUGUGUGUUUCUGAAGUGUAAUUUUGUCUAUGCUUGAUAAUAAUUGGAUAAUGUAUUUCCUCCCCUUUAUAUUAAAAUCAUGUUGAAUUUUGUUCUUAAUUUCGAUUUAGGUUUUGUCCCUGAAAAAUGUUGUAAUAUAAUAAAAAUGUUGUUUUACAGUCACUGUAUUAUAACUCACUACAACAAACUAGUGUACGACGGAAAUAUUUUGUGCAAGUUCAGAAAGAAAUAUAGCUACUACGCUUUUUCCAUCACAAGUUAUCUAGAUAGUUUACUGAAAAUUUUCAACUUUGAAGAUCUGACAAUAGAGGGUACUAAUAAACUGUAACCUAUGCACACAAUUUAGAGUAAUUAUGUAUCAUUUGGUUAUUAGGCAAAAAAAAUCAUUGAACUCAUGACCAACUUGCAGUUGGAUCACUGAACUCAAAAAUAUGCAACGGGAUCAAAAAAUUAGAUUUAACUUGUAAUCAACUAACUGAAAAUAAAAAAAUAUGAUAAAAAAUAAAAAAAAUUGAAGAAAAAGCAAAAUUUUGGGGGAAAAAAAAAAUAAAAGUAGUUUCUUUAAUAAAAUUUCUGAAAACACGUGAGCGUUGCCUUCAUCAAUAAACAGGUGCAAUAUGCUGAUCAGUUUCUAAAAUAACAUCAUAAAUUAUGGAACCAAAAGCUUCACAGCCUCUUGAACUUUCUCCUGCUCCUUUCAAGCCAUUAAAUGGGGAUAUCGUUUACAGCCAAAAAUUCAUCGACUUGCUUUCCACAUUGCCUAAACAGAAGGAUUCUUUCGGAGUCGACAUUUAUUAUGACAAUGGUUUCUGGUGGCCUCUAGUAGCUGUGCAUUGCAUGAUCGUCGAUCGAGUCUCUAAAAUAUUUUCAACCUCGCAAAAACGAUGUCUUCCUCGCAACUGCUCCGAAAUCUGGCACCACCUGGUUGAAAGCUUUAGUCUAUACUUUACUCAACCGCCAAGUCCACCAUCCUCAAGAUCCUCACCACCCCUUGCUAACAACAAAUUAUUCCCAUCAGCUUGUUCCCUUUCUUGAACUACUUGAACACUCUGAAUACGACUCGUUAUCCAACUCUUUGGAGAGCAGCACCAGGAUCUUCGGGAGUCAUUUGCCAGCGGCUAGUCUUCCUGAGUCUGUGAUACAGGAAAAUGAGUCAUUUAAUUGUAAGAUAGUGUAUUUGUGCAGGGAUAUCAAGGACACGUUUGUUUCCUUCUUUCACUUUGUCAUCAAGCAUGUUGAUCCGUCCUCCACUUCUUUGGAAAAGGUCUUCGAUUUAUACAGUAGAGGACUCAAUGGAGCCUGGACCGGUCUGGGAUCAAAUCAUGGGAUAUUGGAAGGAGAGCUUGGAGAGGCCAGAUAAGGUGUUGUUUGUCAAAGUAUGAGGACAUGAAAUGCGAGCCUCGUGUUCAGUUGAGGCGUCUUGCACUUUUUCUAGGGAAGCCCUUGUCCGAAAAAGAAGAAAAAUCAGGUUUGCUUGAUCAAAUCAUAAGUUUGUGUAGCUUUGAUAAUAUGAAGAAUCUUGAGGUUAGUAAGAGCGGGACAACUGGGCUUGGUAUAAAGAAUAACACACUUUACCGGAGUGGCCAAGUGGGAGAUUGGAAGAAUUAUUUGACUGCGGAAAUGGCUGCUAAAUUGGAUCAUGUUACUUGAGAGAAGUUUCGAGGUUCAGGAUUACCAAUACACUAAUCAGGUCGGUUAAUUAAGAGGCCGUUUGGGUGAGUUUAAAAUAAGUGGUUCUUGCUCAAAAUAAAAAAGUGGAGCAGAAGUUAGAAGCAAGAUAAGACUUAUAAGUGAUUAAAGUGUUUUGGAAAUAAGUAGAAGUGUUUGAGAAAUAAGUAGAAACUCUGAAACAAAAGCUAGCAUUCCUAGCUUUUUAUAAGGACUUAUUAACUUAUUACACAAACACAAAUAAGUGUCAUAACCAGACUUAUAAGUUCUAAACAAACACCCACUAAGUUUGAAGGUAAUUUAGAGGGUAGUGGCCAAGAGCCCAGAUUUAAAAAGGACCACUUUUUUAAAAUUUUAUAACUAAAUUACUUAUUAUUAUUGAUGCACUUCAUAAUCUAUCAAAAUCAUUCCACUACUUUCUCAUGAAGAUCCAGGUUUAGUUUUAAAAUUCUCAUAAUUAUAAAGAUGCUUGCUAAAUCAGUUUUUUCAAUAUUUUCAUCAAAUAUUACAUUAAAACCUUGACUUUUAUUAUUAUAUUACUAAUUACAUGUAUUUCAAAGUGAAUAAAAUAUAACUCCGAUUUAAUUUUUCAAAUUUUCUUUUCAAAAUAGGAAUAUAUAUUAAUAUAAUAAAUAGAAAAUUUUAAAAAAUAAUAUAUAAAUAUAUUUUCUAUAUUUUUUAAAAUAAUAGCAAAAAGUUAAAUGACUGAGUACUAUAAAAAAAUUUAUUAAAGUUUUUGCCUCUGUCCCAAAAAUAUAAAAAUCAGACCGAUGCUGAUGAUGAAGGCAACCGAAUGAUUCCACUUCACGCGAUUCUGGGCAGCUACGAUUUAAAGCAUCAUAAAUGGAUCCAAUGCUCUCGAAAAUAUCAAAUAUGUACGUGUCACUCUGUCUUUUUAAAUAAAAUUAUAUGAUUAAUAUUCUAAUUUUAAAAUGAUAAACUUAGUUAUGGAGUUAGGAGAGAAAUGUGUGCCAAAAAUUUCAAUGGCUUAUAUUUCCAACAAAAAAUAGUAUUUAUAAACAAUUAUAUUUCUAAUAAUCGGUGGUUGUGAUGGUUAAAAACUAAUGGAAUGAUAGGACAUUAAUCACAAAGAUCAAUUCAACUAAAAAGAUAUUAUAUUUUGUACAUUAUAAUGAUAUUUGAUAUAUUAGUUUAAUUUAUUAUAUAACAUAUUAUUAUUUAAGAAAAUUUAUAUUACCUCUAUUCUUAUUUAUAAGCCGCUAGAUUAUUUAUACGUAACUUUAAGUGUUUUGAGCACAGUAAAAAUUAAUAUUUUUGUAAACUUUUUUUUGAAGAAAUAUAAUAUUCUAACUUUUAUUAAAAAAUAAAAUUUUUAAAAAUAUUAGAUAUGUGAUCAAAUUUUCUAAUGAUACAUGUAAAAAGUCAAAUAAUAAUAAACAUAAAAAUUUGAAGAUGCCAGUGAUUAAUCAGAUUUUGAAAAUGAAAUCCAUGAUCAAUCUUGAAGCUAGAAAUUUUGGAAUCAUGGGCAAAAGUACCAGAUAUAUUCCAAAUGAGACGUGCCAUACAUAUAACCGAAUGGACUAAGACGUUUUCAAGGUUAACUUGUUUGUGUUGUUACUUAAAAACUACUGUAAAAGAUACUCGUGAUCGGGCUUAUAGAAAACUCCUGCAACUCAAAUUGGGUUAUGAAAUACAUCCCGAGAUAUCUCCGAUCUCUCCUUUAUAAUCUCUUUUAUCUUUCUAUAUAUAUAAAGGUUAAAUACUAAAAUUCGUCUCAAUACACACCUCUAUAUUUAUAUAUAAAACAAAUAACUAUGCAAUUUCAAAUUUGAAGGAACACUAUAAGAUAAAGUGAAGGGAAAAACUAUACAAUACAUAGAUAGCUUUGGAGUAUAAUUAUACCGUCAAAUAUAAUAUUAAAAUGAAUUUGAAGUAAAGUUGAGGGAAUGAUGAGAGAAGGAAUGAUAAUGUAAAGUGAAAAUGAUGAAAAUUUAAAGAUAAAGUGUGAGUAUAAAAUAAAGUAAUGGCGUGAGAUUGCCUGAAGCUACAAUGCGGCAACAUACCCCACUCCGUGAGAGACACUGGGCCUAUAUCACUGUCCAUCACAAAUUGAACAGUAUUUUUGAAAAACAGUGGACUGAUGCCGACCACUUUGGAUGAUCUACAUAUUAGAAUCCGUUAGAAUCCGAUGGUACGCCUAAUUGAUGGGAGUACUAAUUACUUCUCUUUCUUAUAAAUUCAAUUGAUUUUUUCUCAUUUUCUUUUCUACAAAGUCUCCUAAAUUUCUGUCCCUUUUUAAUGGCUUGAAAUUUAUUGUCAAAAGUUAAGCCGGAACAUCUGAAUAUCAUCAUUGUAGUACAUAGCAUAAAAACAAAAAAAAAAAAGGAGAAAAAUCUUAAUAAUAUUAUUGGAAGUUUAGUACAAUGGUUCAAAACCAAUAAUAUAAUAAAUUAGAUUUCCAAUAUAAUAAAUUUAGGUGAUGAAAAACCUUCGAAAAAGUCACAAGAAAAGAGUGAAUGGAAAAGGGUGUAUGGAUGAUUAUUACUGUAUUAAUUAUAUACGUGGGGUAAGGUGCUAAAUUCUAAUGAUCUGUACCCAACACAGCUCAAUAAAUAUUAUAUAUAAUUCCUACUUAUUAUAAUUAAUAAUCUUUUAUAACAUCUAAUCUCUAAAUCGGGUUCUCGGUCCACUUGUUUAAUCCUAAAAUCGGUUUUUUUAUAACAGAACCAAGUCAAAUCUAUUCUCCAUUAUUGAAACACCAAAAGGUUUGUAUCGUUAUUUAUUGUUUUUCUUGGUGCUAUUAAGAAAACGUGUGUCGUUGGAGAAAAAUAUAAUAUUGUCUAUUAUUCCAUUGAAACGCUAUUUAUAUUUUUUAAUGUAGAAACCGUAGAGAACCAUUCUCUCUAAUACUUUAAAGUGUUAGAGGAGGUUCUUUUAUGGAUCUUAUAUUUAUAUUAAACACUCUCCCUCACUCGAAAUCCCAUUAUUUGGGUUGAAAAGUGGAUUACAGGCGCCCAAACCCGUCCAUUUUAAAUUGUGGGGUGGCAGGGCUUCGAACCUGAGACCUCCCGCAAACCAAAACUCUAUACCAUGUAAAGAAUCAUUCUCUCUAAAAUCUUAAGAUUUUACGCUAAGACUACCAUGAUUUUACGUCCAAGGAUUAUAACCAAUUCAUUGGAGAUUUAGAGUGUUAUUUUCAUAUGAUUUUUUAUAAUUUUUAUUUCUGUAUGCCAACUUUUUUGUGUUAAGAAUUGUUCAUGAUCGGAGUUGCUUUUAUAAGUAUUGCAAUAUGCAUGUGUUUAUCUAAAAUAUUGGAAUAAUAUGUCUAAAUUUUAAAAAGAAAUUGUUGUUUAAAAUAGAUAAAUUAAUUAUAGAUAAUAAAUAGAUAUGAUUUAUAAGUUAUUGAGAUGUUUGAUUAGUGUGAAUUAUAAAUCAAUAUACAUUUUAAUUUUAACAAUUUAUAUAAUAAAAUAAUAUUUAUAAAUAUUAUAAAAUUUAUUAUAUAUUUCAAAUAUAAAAAUAUAUUAAAUUAACUAAUUAAGCCACUAAGAGCAUUCACAUUGGAUACCUCAUCCCUAUCCCUAUAUUUUUACUAAAUUUAGUAAUUAUCCAAAAUUAUAUUCAUGAAUUCAAAAAUCUUCCACAUCUCAUUCCCCAUCCUAUCUUACCCCAUCCCUAUAUUCUCUUUUAUAAUACUUCUUUCUCUCUCUUUCAUUUAUCAUCUAAUCAAUUACAGUUAAAAAUAAAAUUAAAAAAAUGAAAGAAAAAAGAAUGGGGCAUGUAUAAUGAAUCCCCAAAUAUGAGGUUUAAGUUUUAAUCCCUAAAACUAAAUCCUAUUUUAGGUUUUGGAUGAAUUUGAUAAAAAAUUAAGAAAUUUCUUAAAUUAUGAGGAUAACGGGGGAGGCAACGGGGAUGCUCUAACACAGACAUGAUAGCUAUAAUGCCUUAAAAUCAACUAGACACCAGCACACCAAAUCUUACUAAAGUGCCAGCUCACAAUGAGUCAUUUAAAAUUAUAUACUUAUAUAUAAUAAGCGUAAGGGAGAUAAUUUGGUCGCAUGGUCUUCUGGUCCAAAAUCUUUUCAUCCGUUGAAUCUUAUAUAUAUUGAACAAAUAAGCACUGUUAGAUUGGAACAAAAUUAAAUUCUGUUCUCGAAGACAACUGAUAUCUACUUGCAUGUUUAUAAUUCUUUUUCUGAAUCCAAAACAAAUUCUGUCUUUCACAUGUAUAUGACUUUUUUUAAUCCUAAAUAAAUAUUUCCUACCAGUUUUAUUCGUAGAAUAAUAUAAAUCUCACCAUCACAAUUUUUUUAUAAUAUAUUUUAAAAUUAAUAAGCCGGAUUUAUGUGAGGAACAAAUACAAAAACUUUUGAUUAAUCCAAAAUAGAUUCUACCUUCUUGUUGCAUAUUUAUGAUUCCUUUUCUUAAUUCAAAACAAAUUAUGUUUAUCAAUUUUAAUUUAGAACCAUAUAAAUUUUUUGAAAAAUAUUUAAAUAACAUUAUAAUAAUUUUAAUAUAAAAUACAUUUAUUAAUAUAAUCUAAUAGGAGUUGGCAUAACGUAUUCCACUCAAAAUAUAUUAAAAUUUGAUAGAUAGAAUUUAAUAUUUUGGCAUGAUACAUACGAUAAAAAGAAUUGCUUGAUUAAAAUAAUUUAUUUGAAACCAUUAAUGGCUGUGAUGAUGUAUUUACCAAAGUUCUAACUUACAAACAAAUCAUAAUUUCGAAUUUCAUUUUAUUAGAAAUUUUUAUUUAUUAUUUAUAAAUUAAAUUUUUUCACACCAUUUAAAAUAUAUUUAAAAAGUUUAUAAAUAAUUAAAAAGCUCCUGUGCCCUUGCACGGGCUAUAAGCUAGUAUAAAUAAUACGGAAUUAAAGUAACAAGGUUGAGAUUAUAAACCUAACCGUAUAGUGUAUACUCCUGUAUAUUUACGCGUCACUUGCGGUAUGAAACCAACUCUGAUCCUUUAUAAAACAAGAUUACAUUACAUAUACUAACACGAACAUGGAGCCAAAAGCUUCACAGUCUCUUGAACUUAUUGAAUCAGUGAACGAGGAGAGAGUCUACAGUGAAGAGUUCUUGGACUUGCUCUCAACCUUGCCAAAAGAGAGAGAUGUUUUCGGAGACAACUUUUAUCAGUACAAAGGUUUCUGGUUUCAUAUAAAACCUUUGCAUGGCUUGGUCGAGUCUCUCAAACAUUUUCAGCCAAGAAAAAAUGAUGUCUUCCUCGUAACUGCUCCGAAAUCCGGUACCACCUGGUUGAAAGCCAUCAUCUAUACUUUACUCAACCGCCCAGUCCACCAUCCUCAAGAUCCUCACCACCCUUUGCUUACAAAAACUCCCCAUCAGCUUGUUCCUUUUCUCGGCUUACUCAAACCCUCUGAAUAUGACUUGAUAUCGAAUU
This 10981-nucleotide long non-coding RNA is filed under the name Daucus carota (carrot). Its description in RNAcentral is "long non-coding RNA (DCAR_LNC001537)". Lineage: Eukaryota; Viridiplantae; Streptophyta; Magnoliopsida; Apiales; Apiaceae. The record is from RNAcentral.